This 467-nucleotide ribosomal RNA is filed under the name uncultured bacterium. Its description in RNAcentral is "SSU rRNA". It matches the Rfam family "Bacterial small subunit ribosomal RNA", at positions 26 to 523 of the family's 1533-position model. The record is from RNAcentral.
AGAAUCAACGCUGGCGGCGUGCCUAACACAUGCAAGUCGCACGAGAAAGCGGGAGCAAUCCUGUGAGUAAAGUGGCGUACGGGUGAGUAACACGUGAAUCAUCUACCUUCGAGUGCGGAAUAACUGAGAGAAAUCUUAGCUAAUACCGCAUAAUACCCACGGGUCAAAGCAGCAAUGCGCUUGAAGAGGAGUUCGCGGCAGAUUAGUUAGUUGGCGGGGUAAUGGCCCACCAAGACGAUGAUCUGUAUCCGGCCUGAGAGGGCGCACGGACACACUGGAACUGAAACACGGUCCAGACUCCUACGGGAGGCAGCAGUGGGGAAUUUUGCGCAAUGGGGGAAACCCUGACGCAGCAACGCCGCGUGGAGGAUGAAAUCCCUUGGGAUGUAAACUCCUUUCGAUAGGGAAGAUAAUGACGGUACCUGUAGAAGAAGCCCCGGCUAACUUCGUGCCAGCAGCCGCGGUAA